This 309-nucleotide long non-coding RNA is filed under the name Dromaius novaehollandiae (emu). Its description in RNAcentral is "lncRNA (ENSDNVG00000009720.1)". Lineage: Eukaryota; Metazoa; Chordata; Aves; Casuariiformes; Dromaiidae. The record is from RNAcentral.
GUAAACCCUCGAGCAUGUCCUGUGCAAACCAGGUUGGCUUCAGGAAACACAAAGAGAAAGAGAAGUCCAGGGAAUGGAGAAUGUCAGGGAACGUCAGAGCUGUCUCAUCAGAGCUGUCGCCAUGGUUCCCCGGCAAUGAGGAAAGUGAGGUCUUCACGUUGCCACCUGCUUCUCCCACUGCUUCAGCCUCCCUGAGAAGGACUCCAGCAGCAGCAUGGCGAUACCAGUGGAAAGCAGAGAUGGGAGGAGCUGGAGGAAGUGYGUGGGAUAAAAUUAAAAGAGCGGUGGCAGUGACAGGUAACCAUCUGA